This 264-nucleotide unclassified non-coding RNA is filed under the name Hevea brasiliensis (rubber tree). Lineage: Eukaryota; Viridiplantae; Streptophyta; Magnoliopsida; Malpighiales; Euphorbiaceae. The record is from RNAcentral.
GAAACGUGGUAAAAAAUCCUGAUGAAGAGAAGUUCAGAAAAAUUAGACUUAGCAACCAAACUUUCCAGGAUAGAGUGGGUGCACUGAGAGGAGGAAUUGAGUUUCUAGAGCUGUGUGGGUUCGAGAAAAUUGAAGGUGGCGAGUUCUUGUUUCUGCCUAGAAACAAGGUUGACAGGGCAGUGCUCAAUUCAGCUGGCUCUGAGCUCGACUCUGCUAUAAAGAAUCCCUUCUUUGGCGUUCUCUGAUUUCAUGUUAUAGAGGGAA